RNAcentral lists this transfer RNA (22 nucleotides) under Eleutherodactylus lamprotes. RNAcentral's name for it is "partial tRNA-Phe". Lineage: Eukaryota; Metazoa; Chordata; Amphibia; Anura; Eleutherodactylidae. The record is from RNAcentral.
UGAACCCUAACUUAUCCUUAAA